UAAAUAGUUUAUCACUUUUUUAUUUGAUUAAAUUCUAAAAUUAAUAAUUAAAAAAAAAUUUUAAUUUUUAUAGAGAUCUUAUUAUUGAACCAUCCUAAUGGUUGUAAACAUGAAAGAUUGGAUUUAUUACCAAAAACGGGAUGUGUGUCUGAUAUCCUUAAUAAUUAAAAAGUAGAGGGAGGAAGCGAUAAAACGAAUACGACGAUAGGAUUAAAAAAGUAUUUCACUACUUGCUCAUCCAUGCCAUAAAUAAAUAUGAUUCAACCGGAUGGAAGUAGAAUAAAAGUAUAAGCACAAGCAUAAGUAUAAUAAACGCGUAUAAAGUAAAAUAAAGUAUUUAAUAGGUAAGAAGAGAUGUAUGAUGUACGAUGAGCAGUGUGUACAAAAAUACAUGUAGUCUAAAAUGGUUUUGCAGUACCGGUGUGUAAGCACCUGGACCACCUAUUUGGAAAAUUCAUCAUGUUUAUACCUGUAACCCGCAUCUGCCUGUCACUCCCUCUCGAUUCUUCUGUCGCGUGCUCAUUUUUUUUUUUUUUACUUUAUUUUAUACUUCUCAUCUCCCCUCAUACUCUGAUGCUAAAAUCCCGUCUCCAGUCUACAGUCUACAGGAAUUACAGCCACACACUCAAGCAAUACAACACACACCCUGAUACAAAGACAAGAAAAUAAUGAACUCUGUAUAAAUUGCCGUCCGAAAAACGAGCUAGCGUUUUGGAUGACGGUAUUAUUUAUCUUAUAUACCGGUUGUUAAAUUCAACAAAUGGAUUUGUUGUGAUGAUUAUUUUUAUUUUAUUAUAUUCAUUCGAUACGUUUUUUUACAGCAGCAGCAGGAGCGAGACCAGGUUGUCCAAUUGGCCAAACCAGGCUCGAAAGAAAUCCAAGACCAAGACCAAGAUCCAGACCAAGAAGAAGAAGAAGAAGAAGAAGAAGAAGAAGAAGAAGUAAAGGUGGUACAGGAAUAGUAUAGACUUGUGGAUAAAGUAUACAAGCAAUUCUCGAAAGAGCGAGGGAGGAGUAAAGAGGGAGAGUCUUAAGCAGGGGGCAGCAGGUGAUGCGCCAGGUGGAAUACGACGGCGCGUGCGCUGCCCCCCGCCUUCCGGUCACGUGUCCUCACCCUCAACCUCCCCUACAACUGAGCACACACGCUCCUCAAGUCCUUGCACACCUAAUAACUCCUUACUCAUUCCUUCUUUUCUUAUUCAAUCUUUUUUUCAAGCUUUUUUUAUUAUUAUACAUCCUUAUUAUUUAGUUUAUUUUUCAGCGUAUCACAGCUUUCAUUUUAGGGGUCUCGUGCCAAGUCCGUCAACCUUACGACACUGACAGAUGCACACCAGAAACCAGAGACCAGAGUCCAAGUUCAGAAACUCUUCAGGAGCCCUUUCCCAACAGCUAAACAGUAACAGGGCCCGUGUACACGUUUUGCUGCUGCUGCUGCCUCUGGUGCCUUCCUUUCCUUCCGUUCAUACACUUCUUCAGCGGCUUCACUAUCGAGAGCCAGACAGGAAGCUCGAUAACCAUCGACCCGUCGGGGUUGCUUGAGAUUUUUUUGUUCACCGUUAUUUAUUUCAACUAAAAAAUUAUCUCGGACUCUUAUUAUUAUUUUAUGAGCUAUUAGUUAUUAAUAUCGCUGCAAUUUAAGCAGUUCAAAAUUAAACUUAGCUUGCGUCUAGAUGAAGAAAGACCUCCGCUAAACUAAGAAGGCUGUAUUAUGACGAUAAACGACUACUAGAAUGCUAAGUUCACUUUUAUAUUAUAUAUUAUGACGAUAUCGGAAGUUUAUUCUACGAACUAACGACAAAUAUGCGAGGAAUUAUAAAAAUUGGAGAGUUCACAUAUGUAUGCCUUGUAAGCAUUCAUUUUAAAUGAUAACAAUCAGCUAAACAAGCUUAAAAUAUCAUGUAACAAAUUUUUUUACUGAAAAAUUAUCAGACAAAAUUGAAGUGCCUGGAUGCUCAAGAUAUGUAAAAAUUAAUAAUCAAGUGGACGAAAUAAAUUUCAACGACUCGCCGAUUUUAUUUUAUUGAAUAAACGUAAUUGAUGGUAAA
Molecule: long non-coding RNA, 2045 nt
Filed under: Cotesia glomerata
Lineage: Eukaryota; Metazoa; Arthropoda; Insecta; Hymenoptera; Braconidae
Description: uncharacterized LOC123267375, transcript variant X6
Source: RNAcentral